Lupinus albus (white lupine) is the source of this 98-nucleotide non-coding RNA. The record is from the annotation of a GenBank genome assembly. Lineage: Eukaryota; Viridiplantae; Streptophyta; Magnoliopsida; Fabales; Fabaceae.
AGGAGCCGUAUGAGGUGAAAAUCUCAUGUACAGUUCUGUACCCUUUUGUUGAAGGUCGUUCGAGCUUUUCCUGGGAGUAUGGCAUGGGUUACUUCAGC